This 260-nucleotide ribosomal RNA is filed under the name uncultured prokaryote. Its description in RNAcentral is "partial 16S ribosomal RNA". It matches the Rfam family "Bacterial small subunit ribosomal RNA", at positions 917 to 1178 of the family's 1533-position model. The record is from RNAcentral.
GGGCCCGCACAAGCAGCGGAGCAUGUGGUUUAAUUCGAAGCAACGCGAAGAACCUUACCUAGACUUGACAUCUCCUGCAUUACCUCCAAAAAGGGAAAUCCCUUCGGGGACAGGAUGACAGGUGGUGCAUGGUUGUCGUCAGCUCGUGUCGUGAGAUGUUGGGUUAAGUCCCGCAACGAGCGCAACCCCUAUUGUUAGUUGCUACCAUUAAGUUGAGCACUCUAGCGAGACUGCCCGGGUUAACCGGGAGGAAGGUGGGG